GACGAACGCUGGCGGCGUGCCUAAUACAUGCAAGUCGAACGCAGUGGGGACGGGUGCGUAACACGUGGGUAACCUCCCAUCAGAGGGGAUAACCCUUGGAAACAGGUGCUAAACCGAUACUGAUGGAUCAACCCGCGGGGGAUUAGCUAGUUGGUGGGGUAACGGCUCACCAAGGCCACGAUGCAUAGCCGGCCUGAGAGGGGGAUCGGCCAAACUGGAACGGAGACACGGCCCAGACUCCUACGGGAGGCCGCAGGGGGGAAUAUUCGGAAAUGGGCGAAAGUCUGACCGAGCAACGCCGCGUGAAUGAAGAAGGUUUUCGGGUCGUAAAACUCUGUUGUUAGGGAGGCGGUAUCUAACCAGAAAGCCACGGCUAACUACGUGCCAGCAGCCGCGGUAAUUC
This 403-nucleotide ribosomal RNA is filed under the name uncultured bacterium. Its description in RNAcentral is "partial 16S ribosomal RNA". It matches the Rfam family "Bacterial small subunit ribosomal RNA", at positions 28 to 526 of the family's 1533-position model. The record is from RNAcentral.